RNAcentral lists this transfer RNA (75 nucleotides) under Marmota monax (woodchuck). Its description in RNAcentral is "tRNA.Ile". Lineage: Eukaryota; Metazoa; Chordata; Mammalia; Rodentia; Sciuridae. The record is from RNAcentral.
UUUGGGUUGUAACUCAGUGGUUGAGCACUUGCCUAAUAUGCUCCAGGCACUGGGUUCAAUCCCCAGUACUGAAAA